Long non-coding RNA from Magnolia sinica, 2395 nucleotides. RefSeq lists it as uncharacterized. The record is from RefSeq and is a predicted model, not a curated record. Lineage: Eukaryota; Viridiplantae; Streptophyta; Magnoliopsida; Magnoliales; Magnoliaceae. The transcript is spliced from 5 exons.
UUUUAUUCUUAACCAUACAUUUGAUAAGUACCAUAAAUUGGAUGGUUUGGAUUGCUUGAUCAGUAUGGUAUUUGAGAUAUGCUCCAUCCAUAAUGUGCCCCACGAUUUGGAUGAUUGGAUGGUCUGGGUAAUAAGCACCAUUAUCAAAGUGUUGGUGAACUAUCAUAUGGGUGUAGCCAUCUGAUUUAUUUUUUUCAUCCUGUUUGAAGGGAUUCUUGGAUGAUCAAUACACACAGCUGCAGCAGUUGCAAGAUGGGAGCAACCCAGAUUUUGUUUUGGAAGUGGUGUCUCUCUUCUUUGAUGAUUCUGAGAAGCUUCGUAAUGAUUUGGGCAGAGCUCUGUGAGGAAUUUGCUUCUCUCUCUCUCUUGUUGGAUAUUGAAAAGAUCACUUUUUCUAUGUUUUUCUUUUCUUGAAGAGAUCAGCAGCCUGUAGAUUUCAAAAAGGUUGAUGGCCAUGUUCAUCAGUUGAAGGGCAGCAGCUCCAGGUAUUUCACUCCAUCCAAAUAUCCAAUUUGUUUCCAUCUCUCUCAAGAAACCCAACUUCCUAAUUCUAUGACAAACCUACUUGUUUGAAACCUGUUGUGGAUGGUCCAUGCACCAGAAAUCCCCCAAAUUCAAAGAAAUCAUAAUCCUUCAAUAGAAAUCUGACAAAGAUGCUUAACAAAUAAAUCACAUCAUAGGCUCACAUUCAACUCAAAAAAGGUCAAACUAAACAAGGGACCACUUGACUUGUGUUGGACGUGCAUGAAAAUAUUAAAAUGUGUACCUUGGAAUAGAGACCACUUGACUUGUGUUGGACGUGCAUAAACACCACUCUCUCUCUCAUAUAUAAACAAGGGAUCAUGUAUAUAGAGAUGUGAGUGUGUGCACAUGUGUGGGGGUGUGUAUACACACAUGCAUAUAUACAUGAUCACCAGUUUAUUUGUUGGUGAACUUCCACAAUAGUGAUGCAUUUUCUAUGACUUGCAUGCUUAUGUCAAAGCAUGAAUCUAGAGAAUUUGGCACGCAUUGAGUUCCAAUAAUUGAGUCAGUUGAGUUUUCAGAUUUCUAAACUAUGCUGCAACAUGAGAGGUUUUCUAACAGUUGUUGCAAGGUUUUCAGGAUGUGGUGGUGUCGGAAAAUAAGGCAGUUGGUGGGAUUCUCGAGGAAAAGGUGAAAUUGAUUUUGGUUCAGUCCUUCAUAAAAUCAAGAUAUCAGAGGAGCAAAGAAAAUAUUUUAUUGAUAACACAGAGCCCCUGGGCCAUUUUCAUAUAAGAUUUGAGUUCAGGCUGGUACUUGGAGCUCAGCCAAACCAGGCUGACUUAGCUGAGUCAGCAAGGCGAUUAGCGUAUUUUAAAAUUGCCACAUUAGAUUUAAUUGUGGAAACAAACUUUAUCUUGUAGCUGGAGCUUCGGAUCUUUAUGCAUCUUGCAAACUAUCAGAGCAUGUUGAAUGCCUUCAAGGCUAGUGGGGAUUUCCAUUCAAGGAUGGUAAUGAAUAUGUACCCACAUAUUCGCAAGGCUGUAGAGGGAAAAGGGGUGUUGCUUGAAUGGUAGCCUCAACCCAGGGAAGACAAACCUCCAGUUCCUCUAUUAAAGGAUGCCUUUGCUUUUGAGAGAUGAAAAGCAAAAAUGCUUAACUUCUCUAUUGCAUAUGGGAAAGCUCCUGCUGGGCUGGCCCGUGAUUGUAAGUGGCGCUGCCAAAGAUCAUGAAGGCAACGGGGUAUGAAAUAAUUAAUGAAGGUAAGGAAAACCAUUUCAAUUUUGAACUUUGGUUGCUAUUUAUUUUCCUUGUAGAAAUUGUACCUUGCAUGAGGAAGGAACAUGUCUGGGUUUGAGUCCCAACCUGGGUUGGACUUGGGCCUAAUAUAGACCCAUUGACAGGCCUAGCUCUAAUUUAAAAUGGGUUGGCCUUAGGCCUAAGUCAGGUUGGCCUAUGUGUUAACAGACCCAACCUGCUUUUAAGGUGGGUUCAAGCCAAACUAAUUGGGUAGUGGGUUGGGUUCGAGCUAGAAAUUUGUCCAUUUAAAUAAUGGGUUAGGCUGGGGUUGAACCUACCUAAUGGGUUGAGCCGGAUGACCUUGCAUAGGUUACUAAUGGGUUGAGCCGGAUGACCCUACAUAGGUUUCUAAUGGGUUGAGCCAGAUGAGCUGGUUUGACUCGAGCCAAAACCCAAAACAAAAUAAAGAACAAAAGUAUGGAUAAAUUUAUUGCCUGGACCCAAACUCAACAUGAUUUCUUCAGUCCAAUUGAUUGAACCUGAGCUCGUUAAAAUUGGGUUAGGUUCAUAGGCCACGGCUUCGGGUACCCAUUGGCAUCCCUAUCGACCUCAAUAUGACCCCAAUGAUAAAUGGGGUUGGAUUCGGAUAAGAGGCCAGUAUCGACCCAUUAAAUUAGUGGGACGGUUGCUUUAGAUU